RNAcentral lists this ribosomal RNA (1198 nucleotides) under Streptococcus gordonii. RNAcentral's name for it is "bacterial SSU rRNA". It matches the Rfam family "Bacterial small subunit ribosomal RNA", at positions 8 to 1182 of the family's 1533-position model. The record is from RNAcentral. Lineage: Bacteria; Bacillati; Bacillota; Bacilli; Lactobacillales; Streptococcaceae.
AGAGUUUGAUCCUGGCUCAGGACGAACGCUGGCGGCGUGCCUAAUACAUGCAAGUAGAACGCACAGUUUAUACCGUAGCUUGCUACACCAUAGACUGUGAGUUGCGAACGGGUGAGUAACGCGUAGGUAACCUGCCUGGUAGCGGGGGAUAACUAUUGGAAACGAUAGCUAAUACCGCAUAAAAUCUCUUAUCGCAUGAUAGAAGAUUAAAAGGGGCAACUGCUCCACUACCAGAUGGACCUGCGUUGUAUUAGCUAGUAGGUAGGGUAAUGGCCUACCUAGGCGACGAUACAUAGCCGACCUGAGAGGGUGAUCGGCCACACUGGGACUGAGACACGGCCCAGACUCCUACGGGAGGCAGCAGUAGGGAAUCUUCGGCAAUGGGGGGAACCCUGACCGAGCAACGCCGCGUGAGUGAAGAAGGUUUUCGGAUCGUAAAGCUCUGUUGUUAAGGAAGAACGGGUGUGAGAAUGGAAAGCUCACACAGUGACGGUACUUAACCAGAAAGGGACGGCUAACUACGUGCCAGCAGCCGCGGUAAUACGUAGGUCCCGAGCGUUGUCCGGAUUUAUUGGGCGUAAAGCGAGCGCAGGCGGUUAGAUAAGUCUGAAGUUAAAGGCAGUGGCUCAACCAUUGUACGCUUUGGAAACUGUUUAACUUGAGUGCAGAAGGGGAGAGUGGAAUUCCAUGUGUAGCGGUGAAAUGCGUAGAUAUAUGGAGGAACACCGGUGGCGAAAGCGGCUCUCUGGUCUGUAACUGACGCUGAGGCUCGAAAGCGUGGGGAGCGAACAGGAUUAGAUACCCUGGUAGUCCACGCCGUAAACGAUGAGUGCUAGGUGUUAGGUCCUUUCCGGGACUUAGUGCCGCAGCUAACGCAUUAAGCACUCCGCCUGGGGAGUACGACCGCAAGGUUGAAACUCAAAGGAAUUGACGGGGGCCCGCACAAGCGGUGGAGCAUGUGGUUUAAUUCGAAGCAACGCGAAGAACCUUACCAGGUCUUGACAUCCCUCUGACCGCUCUAGAGAUAGAGUUUCCCUUCGGGGCAGAGGUGACAGGUGGUGCAUGGUUGUCGUCAGCUCGUGUCGUGAGAUGUUGGGUUAAGUCCCGCAACGAGCGCAACCCUUAUUGUUAGUUGCCAUCAUUGAGUUGGGCACUCUAGCGAGACUGCCGGUAAUAAACCGGAGGAAGGUGGGGAUGA